Molecule: long non-coding RNA, 585 nt
Organism: Setaria italica (foxtail millet)
Lineage: Eukaryota; Viridiplantae; Streptophyta; Magnoliopsida; Poales; Poaceae
Exons: 3
Source: RefSeq, a predicted model, not a curated record
UCUGUGUUUUAGUUGGCAGUUCCCAUCUACAUGUAUAUGUGCACCCUUCUUUAUCACAUAUAUGUUGCCAAUUGUUUGGGAGGAUCAAUAUACGCCUCAUCAACCAGCUUAAUGGGAAGCAUAUCGACAAGUCAUACCGCGGUAUGUUCAAUAGAAACAUUUAUCACGGAUGCGCUGGUGUGGUGGCACUGCAGACAUUGUUUGAUAAAGAAGAGGGCUUCCUUGUCCAGGAUUGUUGCAUUGUUGAAGUGGAAGUGACAGUCCUUUCACGGUUUUGAACACUGCUGCUCGUGAUGCUGGAGGGACAAAUCAGCACGCUGUUGAAGAGGAGGCUUAUCAUAACCCAUUCGAGUGGGAUAUGUCACCUUUUUUUCGCAUCUUCCAAAAGGAUCCGCGGUUUGACAUCACAGAUUUGAUUUUGAAGCAUAGACCUCUGGAUGGAUUUCCACAGGAGUGGUAGCUAAAAUUCAAUCGAUGUAAACAUCAUGAGAUCAGAUUAUCUAUGUGCAGUAUCCGAUUUUCUUUUUCGUUUUCUUUUAGAUGUAGUGCUCCAGAUUUCGUUUUCCCCUUGUCGAUGUAGCAAGU